GAAAAACUAGCAAGCAAGGCUAGGAAUGACAGCUGUGUAUCCUCAAAGUUUCCCCUCCGACUGUGAAAUGUAGGACAUAUUUCAAGCGUGUAGAAAAUGGAUGGAUGGAUGGAUGAAUGACAUCCCAUAACCCUGUAAACAACUCCCAGCUGUACCUCACAUCCCAUAACCCUGUAAACAACUCCCAGCUGUACCUCACAUCCCAUAACCCUGUAAACAACUCCCAGCUGUAACUCACAUCCCAUAACCCUGUAAACAACUCCAAGCUGUAACUCACAUCCCAUAAUCCUGUAAACACCUCCCAGAUGUACCUCCCAUCCCAUAAUCCUGUAAACACUUCCCAGCUGUACCUCACAUCCCAUAACCCUGUAAACAACUCCCAGCUGUAACUCACAUCCCAUAAUCCUGUAAACAUCUCCCAGCUGUACCUCACAUCCCAUAAUCCAGUAAACACCUCCCAGCUGUACCUCACAUCCCAUAACCCUGUAAACACCUCCCAGCUGUACCUCACAUCCCAUAACCCUGUAAACACCUCCCAGCUGUACCUCACAUCCCAUAAUCCAGUAAACACCUCCCAGCUGAACCUCAUAUCCCAUAAUCCUGUAGACAUGCCCAGCUGUACCUCACAUCCCAUAGUCCUGUAAACACCUCCCAGCUGAACCUCAUAUCCCAUAAUCCUGUAGACAUGCCCAGCUGUACCUCACAUCCCAUAACCCUGUAAACACCUCCCAGCUGUACCUCACAUCCCAUAAUACUGUAAACACCUCCCAGCUGUACCGCACAUCCCAUAAUCCUGUAGACAUGCCCAGCUGUACCGCACAUCCCAUAAUCCUGUAGACAUGCCCAGCUGUACCACACAUCCCAUAAUCCUGUAGACAUGCCCAGCUGUACCUCUGCGCAUGAGUGUGUAGGAAGCCAUUGUAACAGGUUCUUGCAUCCCUAAGUCACAUUCUACAACAAUAAUCUGAGAUCCCUCUUAACCAUCACCCCUGUGCAUAUACGAAGACUGUGUUAAUUAACUAUAUUACUGGUGCUUUUUGAUGUUGUCAACAAGAUAAAACAGCUGACCUUUAAGGUACCCUCCACCCCCAUUGAUACUGACUCCAUUUAGAGUGCUACCAAGAUCCCCCCCCCCCCAGGAGAAACAUGCCCUUCAAACGUGUGACGGGCCCAUGACACCAUUAUAUAGAUGGACACCUGGAUUUCAUUUCAACAAAUUGAUUUUCCAGCCCUCCGCCCCAACUCUCCUUAAUUCACAAGAAGAAAGUGAAAAGUCCUCUAACAAUUUAUCGAUUAACCUAACCUUAAAAAAAAUAAUAAACACCUUGGUUGACUAGACAAAUAACCGCUGAUUUACACAGAUAACAUGAGGCCGGGUGUUGCGUGGGAAAAUGAAACUCACUCCCCGCGAUAAACGUGGGCUGGUAUAAACCGUCCCGAGGAAGACUGCAGAGAAUGAGAUAAGGAGGAGAACUUCUUCAUUUCAUCAUUGGCAACAGUCACGGUGUGUGUGUGUUGUUGGCUGGGAUAUCAAGAUAAACGACAUGUCUCCGGGUUCCCCCUCCCCAGGUUCCCCCCUCCACCCCCCCUCUUCAGUGGGAACUCCAAGAUGCUCAGUAUGUCUUUGUGUCUGGAUUCCUGUUUACCGACCUCCCCUGCCCUCUCAGCAUCGUGUUUUUUGUUCAUUUUCUCGGAAUCUCAUUGCUUUAUAAUUACGGUAAAGGACCUUUAAAAGAUUAAGCCCAUAGAUGUGGCAGUGCUCAGCUGGGUAAUCGGCUCGGUGCUCGGCUAGCAGUGCCUGAAAAAGCGCAGUCAAAGCGAGAGAGUGAGAAGCAGCAGGGAUCAACAGAAACACAAAUGUAACUUAGUAUCUCCUUUACAAAAAAGCUUUUCACAGAAAAAGAAUAAAAUCGUAAAGAUGGGCAAAAGUAUAAAGCAUUAAGUGUCAUCUUCACUCCCUCCUGCCCGCUGCCCGGGACAGUGUUUAGAAAACCCUCAAUUUCUGGAACUAUCUGUCGGUAGCACUUGGUAAACAACAGACGCACUAAAAGCACCGCGAACCGUAGGGCUGGCCAAGUGCAGAAAUCAAAUUAUAGAGGCUGCUUCUCAAGCAGUGAUGGGCCGGCGGGCAGAGAUUUAGGUAUGUGGUUCAGGGCAGGUCGAAGAGGUCUAAACCAAUGGUUCGGCCUCAGACUUUGAGGAAACCAGAAACGCAAGAGCCAAGCAAACACAAGGAGAGCUGAACAUUGGGUGGAAUCAAACGCAUGACCCUAGAGACAUGAGACCGCAGUGCCUCCUACAGGGCAAAUACUGUAUCACGGGCCGGGAAGUUGAACCACUUGUUAAGUUGUUGUUGAGUUGCACUUAAAUGGAGGGAAAUUAAAAUUCAUUCUUGAGAGCUGUGGUUCCAAACUGGUUUAGCCUCAGGAAUCAACUUUUCCUUGGUCACUAAGCCAGGACCAAAAAUGUGAAAUUCCGAACCAAACUUAUUUAACAAAAAAAGUGCAGUUAUAGUCACAUACGUGCAAAUUGCGGGGGGUGGGGGAGGUGGGGGGAGUUGUUGGCCAUACAAUUUUCCAACCCACCAGUUCCGAAACGGUACCUCACAGGUCCCAUAGGUCGGGUCCAAGUGGUAGCAGGAUAUAAGGUUCAGUACAUCCAGCUCAUGAUGUGCAGCUUUAAAUUUCGGAAAAUGCGACACCUUUUAUAUGCGGACGUUUAUCAAACGAGGUAGCGGGGGUCUGUACAUCAAGAGGUGAUGUGCAGUACAUCACGCCAUCACACGGGCCGCAGAGUCCAGCAGCGAUUUAUGGCAGGCCUGGGGGCCACUAUUGUGUUUUGUCUGAUGCGUAAAUCACAGGGGCACGUUGCCAGCCAGGGCCAGGCCCGGAUGCCGGCGGGACUUCUCUGAUAGCCAGGACCCGGCUCGGAGAUAAGGAUUCUAGAGGGAAGGGCGAAUCCGGCAUAGAUGAGCGAUCGCCUCGGACGGGGUACACAUACUCCGGAGAUGGACAGCAGAUGGAUGGCAUUGCCGAAGAGAAGAUCAGGCAGAGAGGAGCACGGAAAGAAGGUUGGAUGCGUGGCGACCGCAGCAGCGUGGCCCGAUUACACCCCGGCCAAGGGAACGUCUGGGCCCACGGGUCUGCAGUCUGCUCCACCAGACCAAACCAGUCUCGGAAAUAACAGAGAAUAGCUCCGGACCACAGAAGGCAAUCUAUACAUCUUCCUGAGAGAAUGGAGCCACUUCCAGCAGGCCAAUCCAAUUGGCCAGUCACCAGCGUAAUCUCCGCCACCGCACACGGAUAUUAAAUGAAAUGGAUUGUGGGCUGG
This is a long non-coding RNA of Paramormyrops kingsleyae, 3330 nucleotides long. RefSeq lists it as uncharacterized. NCBI's taxonomy places the organism in Eukaryota, Metazoa, Chordata, Actinopteri, Osteoglossiformes, Mormyridae. The record is from RefSeq and is a predicted model, not a curated record.